Molecule: long non-coding RNA, 618 nt
Organism: Physella acuta
Lineage: Eukaryota; Metazoa; Mollusca; Gastropoda; Physidae
Source: RefSeq, a predicted model, not a curated record
AAAUCUACUCCCUGAAUCUUCGACAAUUACCCUAUAGAUUGUUCUGUGAAAACAAAAUGUCCGCCAAACUACUUCUCGCUAGCGUCCUUCUUUCAACACUGCUGGUCGCAUCGGUGGUCGGUGAUUCAAAGAGAACAAGAACUACUACUAAACCAACUACAACAACAACUAAACCAACUACAACAACAACUAAACCUACUACAACAACAACUAACCCAACUACAACAACAACUAACCCAACUACAACAACAACUAACCCAACUACAACAACCACUAAACCAACCACCACUACCACGAAGGCAACCACUAAAAAAACUACAACAACAUCAAAACGCCAUUCUAAAUAAACUUUUAAACGCAUCGGCUUGGUAACGGAUUUGUGAAAACGCGUAUGAGCCACGGAAUGAUCUACCUGACUAUUGAAAAAAUACCAAGCUGACAGUUUAAAGGUUGUGACAUGACAACGAUUUGUCUGACGACUGUCAAUCAUCGUAAACCACGCUUGAAUUACUUUGUUUAACUUUAUUUUCAGCAUUUAGUUGGGGAAAAAAACUUUUUAAUUUUUUGAAAACACAUUUUAAAUCUAUUCUAUUCCAGUAAAUAAAGCUAUAAAAUAAA